This 259-nucleotide ribosomal RNA is filed under the name uncultured bacterium. RNAcentral describes it as "partial 16S ribosomal RNA". It matches the Rfam family "Bacterial small subunit ribosomal RNA", at positions 1244 to 1500 of the family's 1533-position model. The record is from RNAcentral.
GGGCAGCCAAGUCGUGAGGCGGAGCUAAUCCCUUAAAGCCAUUCUCAGUUCGGAUUGUAGGCUGAAACUCGCCUACAUGAAGCUGGAGUUACUAGUAAUCGCAGAUCAGAAUGCUGCGGUGAAUGCGUUCCCGGGUCUUGUACACACCGCCCGUCACACCACGGAAGUUGGAGGCGCCCGAAGCCACUUAGCUAACCCUUUUGGGAAGCGAGUGUCGAAGGUGAAAUCAAUAACUGGGGUGAAGUCGUAACAAGGUACC